UUGAGGCAAGAAGUAUUGCUGGUGAUUAAAUUCAUCCUUUUGCUAGUGCAGUACAAUGAAUAUCUAGCUAAUUAAAUAUUUAUUUGUUGAUAUGAAAAACUUCCUCGUUUAAUAUUCAAGUCAGCAGUUUUAUAACCAAAUCACACAAUGUUAUUAAAACUUAAUUGUGAUGUCAGAGCGUUGCUAAAUUCAGACCUUCAUCCAUAUUUUUGGUGUGCAAGUGAACCUUAUAUUUGGUAUCCAUGAUUGUGUACAAAAUUCAAUAAGUGAACAUGUGGCUGGUGCUAACUCAUUCUCUGGAUGAAUGGGAAUUGUAAUGGACUGGAAUUCACGUAACUAAUACUAAACCUCACUUUUUCUGGUUCAACUGGGUAUGUAUGCAACUUGCGAGCAGUGAUGUUUCUCCUCCGUUUCCAUGGCAAUAUUACUUGCGCCAUUUCUGCGAUACUUUUUGUAAUACUUUUUUUUGCAUAAUUCCUCAAUUCUUACUGAAUACUCUGCGAACACAACUUACUCUAUGAUCAAUAAAAACAUUUAAAUUAAGUCUUGCGUCACAAUCUA
This is a long non-coding RNA of Folsomia candida, 561 nucleotides long. RefSeq lists it as uncharacterized. The record is from RefSeq and is a predicted model, not a curated record. Lineage: Eukaryota; Metazoa; Arthropoda; Collembola; Entomobryomorpha; Isotomidae. The transcript has 2 exons.